RNAcentral lists this ribosomal RNA (484 nucleotides) under uncultured bacterium. Its description in RNAcentral is "partial 16S ribosomal RNA". It matches the Rfam family "Bacterial small subunit ribosomal RNA", at positions 30 to 507 of the family's 1533-position model. The record is from RNAcentral.
AUUGAACGCUGGCGGCAGGCCUAACACAUGCAAGUCGAGCGGAUGAAGGGAGCUUGCUCCUGGAUUCAGCGGCGGACGGGUGAGUAAUGCCUAGGAAUCUGCCUGGUCGUGGGGGAUAACGUCCGGAAACGGGCGCUAAUACCGCAUACGUCCUGAGGGAGAAAGUGGGGGAUCUUCGGACCUCACGCUAUCAGAUGAGCCUAGGUCGGAUUAGCUAGUUGGUGGGGUAAAGGCUUACCAAGGCGACGAUCCGUAACUGGUCUGAGAGGAUGAUCAGUCACACUGGAACUGAGACACGGUCCAGACUCCUACGGGAGGCAGCAGUAGGGAAUAUUGGACAAUGGGCGAAAGCCUGAUCCAGCCAUGCCGCGUGUGUGAAGAAGGUCUUCGGAUCGUAAAGCACUUUAAGUUGGGAGGAAGGGCAGUAAGUUAAUAUCUUGCUGUUUUGACGGUACCAACAGAAUAAGCAACGGCUAACUUCGUG